GGGAGCACAAGGAGCUCCAACAUGAGUAGCACGACUGAUGAUUUUGCCAGGACGGAGAUCAACAUUCGCACGAGGAAGAUCAGCACUUGGUGAUGGUCAAUGUAAGCAUCAGAAGAAUGAACAGAAAGAACGAAGAAUGGUGCUAUCAUUUGAGGAAAAUGGUAGGAUCAGCCCCAUAACACCAUAGGAUUCAUAGUCAAGGCUUUAAGAUAAUGAAAACGGUCUGUAUUAGUAAAUGAGGGAAGAUCCGCAAAAGAAAACACGUUAAUGCGGGGAGGAAAAGGGGAGGCGAUACGCAUCAUGAGAAGGAAGAUGAUCAAGAACCGUACAGGUGCUUGACAUCCGAAUGGUGCAUAUCAAGGACAGGGUGAUACAAAUAUGCGCGUAGAGGAAUAGGAAGUUGUGUCUGAUGUUGAAAGCAAACGUUUGAAACAAGAUGAAAAUUUGCAUCGGGAGGAGCGUAAGGGUUGCCAUGAAGGUCAAAAUGUAUACGAGGAGGAGCAACGACCGCGCAGGAAGAAGGGGGCUGUAUAUAAGAAUACCACAAGAUGGAAGAUUCGGCACAAGGGAGAUUCAGCAGUAGCAAGAAAAUUGUGACUCCCACAACGAAGAGUUUUUUUACACGUCUCCAGGAACAGGAACAUGUCCAAGCGAUUAAAAAAACUGUUAUCCAAACCUGUUAAAUGGAUGGGUUUCAGGGACCAAAGUGUACGCUAAGAAGUGUUUGUUGGGCGAGCCGCGGACCCUACCAUCCGAUCGCGCAAUUCCAAGUUAACGGCAGAAACCGGUGGUCUAAAUUUAAUUUGCCGCACUGCUUGGCACGGUCCGUCCUGCCCGCUGACGUCAACUAACCUUUAGCGUUGCCACGACCACCGGCGGGGGGCCAUACCUGUCAAGGGCAAUACUGUGAAACUUGCGUGAGGAAGAGUAGCAGUCGAACUCAGGAAAUGAGGCAAAAUCGGCACGAGGAGGAGGAGGAGGAGGAUUAAGAUCGGCACGAGGAGGACGAUCAAGAUCGGCAUGAGCAGGACCAAGAUUGGCACGUGGAAGGGGAUGAUGUUUGACACGAGGAGUAAAGAGGAUCGAUCUCGCACGUAAAAUAAUAUGAAGACCGCAUGUGCAAUGGGGAAAAGAGAGGCAGGAAUGGAAUAUUAAUAUUCCAUGAGAAAAAUAGGCUUGCAUGAGGACUCACCCGAGGAAUGAUAGCAAGAAGCAGAGAAGGCUGAGAUCAAGAUGACACGACGAAAAGGGUCGUACAAGUCAAGAUCGGUUUGGUGACAAGAAACCAGAUUGGCACAAGGGAAUUCAAAAUGGACAGGGUGAGAAGGAUUGAGUCUAGCACGAGAAGAGAAGAUAAAGACGGGUUUGACGAAAGUAUUAACCUCGCACGAUAGAUAACAAGCUCGCACCAGGAAUAGGAUGGAGCACAGCGCAAGUAGAAGAUCAAGGUUCCUUCAGAAAACCGGCCGCACGGGCAUCACACGAAGAAUCAAGGGUACGCGAGGAUCAGGAUCGGCACAAGGAGGGGUAGGGUCGGUAGGAACGAGAUCAAUUUCGACACAAAAAAAGAAUAUGAAAAGCGGUGCGAGGAAGAAAUCGGAAGUUUCACGAUGAAUAAGGUCGAGAUUGUGUGUGCAAGGAUAAGCAUAGCGGGAAGAUUGGAAAAGCAACACAUCGCAUGAGGAAAGGUAUUAGGCCUACAAGAGGGACACGAUCAAGAUCGCACAGAGAAGAGGUAUUGGCUCAGAUGAUGAAUGAGAUGAAGAUCGCAAGGUGAUUAUAAGGUGGGACGGUGACGAUGAUGAUGAUGAUGAGGUGGUGCACGGUGCACGGUGAUGUGGGGAUGCGGUGAUGCACAGUGAUGAUGAACAAAAAAGGCGUGAGGGUUCGAGAAUGGUGCGAAAAGCAGAACCAAACCCCGCGGCGAUGGUGGUAGUGUACCCAGGAUUUUAACCAGGAAUGGGAGGUGGAGUAAACGUGGCCAUCCGAAGUGGAGUUCAUUUCAACCAUGCUGGACAACGCCUCGGCGAUUCCUAGACCUGUUUUUUUUUUACAUUUUGAGACUCUGUAACCCAAUCUUUUCAUACGAUUUUGAUGCGUCGGAGGGCUGCGUUUUAUGCUUACUAAGCCUUAUGUGCGUAUCAAGCUGCUAGAAAGUGCUGGGGCAGUCGCUUCCAGAGGAGGGGGAGCGAUGGUCCUGAAAGGCAUCGUCUGGCUGCAUUAAACAUGGUCUUCCUACUGGGGAAGAAAUACUGUGAUUGCACGAGGAAGAAUAUUGAUCUCGAACAUAGAAGAAAGUUAAGAUUACGCAGAAACAUAAGGCAAAGAUCGUCAAAAUGGCGUGAGAGGAGAAGCAGGAUCAGCACAAAAUGACGCUCGUCACAACAAGGAAAAACAUGAUGGGCUUGGCGCAGGGAAUCAAAAUCGGCACGAGGAGGUGGAUCAAGAUCGGCACGAGGAAGUGGUUCAAGAUGGGCACGAGGAGGUGGAUCAAGAGAUGCACGGGGCGGUGGAUCUUGAUCGGCACGACGAGGUAGAUCAAGAUCGGCACGAGGAGGUGGAUCAAGAUAUGCACGGGGCGGUGGAUCAAGAUCGGCACGAGGAGGUGGAUCAAGAGAUGCACGGGCCGGUGGGUCAAGAUCGCCACGAGGAGGUGGACCAAGACCAGCACGAGGAGGUGGAUCAAGAUCAGCACGAGGAGGUGGAUCAAGAUCGGCACGAGGAGGUGGAUCAACAUUAGUACGACGAGAUGGAUCCAGAAGAGCGCGAGGAGGUGGAUCAAGGUCGGCACGAGGAGGUGGACCAAGACCAGCACGAGGAGGUGGAUCAAUAUCAGCACGAGGAGGUGGAUCAAGAUCGGCACGAGGAGGUGGAUCAACAUUAGUACGACGAGAUGGAUCCAGAAGAGCGCGAGGAGGUGGAUCAAGAUCGACACGAAGAGGUGGAUCAAGAUCGGCACGAGGAAGUGGUUCAAGAUCGGCACGAGGAGGUGAAUCAAGAGAUGCACGGGGCGGCGGAUCACGAUCGGCACGAGGAGGUGGAUCAAGAUCGGCACGACGAGGUGGAUCAAGAGAUGCACGAGGCGGAGGAUCAAGAUCGGCACGAGGAGGUGGAUCAACAUUAGUGCGACGAGAUGGACCCAGAAGAGCGCGAGGAGGUGGAUCAAGAUCGGCACGAGGAGGUGGAUCAACAUUAGUACGACGAGAGGGAUCCAGAAGAGCGCGAGGAGGUGGAUCAACAUCGGCACGAGGAGGUCAAGAUCGGCACGAGGAGGUGGACCAAGACCAGCACGAGGAGGUGGAUCAAGAUCGGCACGAGGAGGUGGAUCAAGAUCGGCACGAGGAGGUGGAUCAAAAUUAGUACGACGAGAUGGAUCCAGAAGAGCGCGGGGAGGUGGAUCAAGAUCGGCACGAGGAGGUCAAGAUCGGCACGAGGAGGUGGACCAAGACCAGCACGAGGAGGUGGAUCAAGAUCGGCACGAGGAGGUGGAUCAAGAUCGGCACUAGAAGGUGGAUCAACAUUAGUGCGACUAGAGGAUCCAGAUGAGCACGAGGAGGUGGAUCAAGAUGGGCACGAGUAGGUGGAUCAAGAUGGGCACGAGGAGUUGGAUCAAGAUCGGCACGAGAAGGUGGAUCAACAUUAGCGCGAGGAGGUGGAUCCAGAUGAGCACGAAGAGGUGGAUCAAGAUUGGUACGAGGAGGGGGAUCAAGAUCAGCACGAGGAGGUAGAUCAAGAUCAGCAUGAGGAGGUAGAUCAAGAUCAGCACAAGGAGGACGAGGAUCGGCAAAAAGCUGGACUCAGCACGGCAAGGAGAAACAACCACGAGGAGAGCACUCAGGAGGCCUCUGGUAACUGUACAACAAGCCAAACAGCAGCUCAAAAUCGUUGAUGAAAUACUGCAUCCACUGCUUACCUUAGAGCAAGGUCAGACAUGUGUCGUUGGUGCCUGAGUACCUGGCACGCCCAAAAAUAUCCUGAAACGAACGGGCUGAUACCUUAGCCAAAUACCUCAGCCUUUGAGUACCUUAGAUACCUUGGCCAAAGUCAUUGCUGUUGAAGCGUCCUUAAAACCCACUAACUAUCUGACCACAAACAAGAUCGGCACAAGAAAGAUGACUGGGGUCGGCCCGAGAACACUGGAAUAUGAAGAUGGGACGGCGACAUUGUUAAGACAAAGGAGGUCGUUACGAUCACAUGAGGAAGAUGAUCAGGAUCAGCAAAGAGCCAAGUACCCUACGAGGAGAAAGAACCAUGAGGAGAAAGAUCAAGAUUUACACCAGGAGGAAGAUCAACUUGCCAUGAUGAUGAGGUGAAGAUGAACACGCGGCAGGCAUCGGAGAAGCACGAAGAAUGGGAUCCAGAUCACGCAAGGGGCCCAGAACGAUAGAAAUCGUCGGCCAUAGGGGCAUGACGAUGGGCGUCGUACGCGGCCACGUGCGAAAUCAAGAUCACAUGAAGGAGAUCAAGAUUGGCUUACAAAGAUUUCAGUUCGGCACGAAAAGCAGAAACAAGACGGGAAAUUAGAUGUCAGCGAAAUCGCACUAGGAAAGAUGUUAAGGUCACAUCAUUAAUGACAUCAAGGAUGACAAAAAUGGUGAGUGAAGAGUGCUCGGGCAGAACAUCUGAUUUGUCGAUCACAUGGAGAAUCAAGAUACAUGAUGAGGAUGCUCAAGAUUACCGCAAAGAGAGCCGAGGUCGGCGCGACUAGAAGUUAUAUCGGCACGAAGAAAGGGAUCAGGAUUAGCACGAGGAGAUGGAUCAAGAUCGUCACGAGGGCAUCCAGAUUGGCAAUGAGGUGCAUCAAGAUCGGCACAUUGAGGAAUAAUAACAUCGUCACGAGAAUAAGGGUCAAAUUCGGCGCGAGAAGGAGCAUGAAGGUCGGCACAAGGAGGGAAGUGAGAUCGACAUGGGGAAGCUGAUCAUCGUCGGCACGAGGAAGAGGACCAAGAUGGGAACGAGGGAAGGCAUCAAAACGGACACGAGGAGAAGGAUUCAGAUCGUGACGAGUGAGAGGAGGAUUAAUAUCAACAUGCGGGGGAAGAUCAAGAUUGGCGUAAGGAAGAUCAAGCCCUGCACAAGGAGGAGGAAGAGGAGUAUAAAGAUGGCCCUGAGGAAGAUGUUGAACUUACGCGAUGAAUGACAUCAAGAUUGAUGGAAAGCGAUCACGAUCAUGAGCAAUGGUAGCAAGAACGGUAGCAGUGGAAACUCAAGAUGAGAUAGCAAUAUUUCUAAAACAAGGACAAUCAAGAUCACUCUUCGAAAAGCAUCGGGAUCGUCUUAAGGAGAAACACCGGCACGAGGAAGAGAAUCAAGGUCGGCAGAAAUUUAAGUUCGGCCUCUCGAAGAGAAACAAGAUGGGCACGACGAAGAAGAUCAGGCUCAAAACAAGGCCGAAGACUAUUUCGGCACGAGGAGGAGAAACUAGGUCGGCGCGAAGAGGAUACAAAAACGCACAGGGAUGGUGUCCUACUUGCACGAGGAAUACGAUCAUGGGAACAAGAACAAGACCAGAAUAUCAAGACGGAACAGCACUGUCAUUAAGGCAAGGGAGAUAAUCAAGGUUACGUUAGGUAGAGGAUCAGAAUCAGCAUUAAGUUAAGCACCAGUUAAUGAGAAAGAAGCACAGGGGAAAGGUCGAGAUCGUCACCAGGAGGAGGAGCAAUUCGCCGUGGUGAGGAUCAAGAUCGGCACGGGGUAGGCAUCGAAGAAGCACGAGGAAUAACAUCAAGAUCACUUAAUACAUGGGGCCUAGGAUGGUAAAAUCGACGACCAUAAGCGCAUGAGGAAGAAGUCGUACGUGGCCACAUGAGGAAUCAAGAUCACAUGAAAAAACAAGAUCAACUUACAAAGGUUCGAGAUCGGCACGAGAACGAGAAAGACGAUCGGCACGAGGAGGAAGAUGAAGAUCGCAUAAGAGGGAUGAUCAUGAUCGGCACGAGGAGAAAGAAAGUUCGGUGCGAGGGGGAAGGUCACCAUAGGUGAGAUUAUGUCGAAAAAAUUGCACGAUGCAUAUUAUCAAGAUCGCAUGAAGAAUGACAUCAAAACAAGAAAAAUGGUAAGUCAAGAGCCCUAGGGUAAAGGAAGUCAAAUGUUGAUUGAAUGAAAAAUCAAGAUGAUGUGAAAAAAUUAUUCAGAUCGGCGCAAAAAGAGUCGAUAUCAGCGCGACAAGAAAAAGCAAGAUUGGUAUGGAGAGGAGGACGAAGAUCACCAGAAGCAAGGGCCCACAUUCUAGGAGCAAGAGGACCAAGAUCGGCUCGAGCAGGUGGAUCAAGAUCGGCACAAGAGGGAACAUCCAGACUGGCAAAGGAGGAGCUUCAAAAUCGACACCAGAAAGAGGACCAAGAUCGAGACGAGGAGGAAUAGCAAGAUCGGCACGAGAAGGAGGUGGAUCAAGAGCAGCGCGAUGAGGGGAUCUAGACCGGCACUUGGAAGUGCGCCGAGACCGGCACGAGGAGUGCCAAGCUACGCACUGUCAUCAAGAUGGAAAAGAAUACCGACACGAGGGGGAAGCUCAAGAUUGACGUGAGGACGAUCAAGCUGUACACAAGGAGGAGGAGAAGAAAAAUUAAGGUAAACACGAAUAAGGUGUCGAAGUCGCACGAUCAAUAGCAUCAAGGGCGCAUGAGCGACGGGAACAAGAAAAACAGCACUGGGAUGACAAGAUGUGAUAGCAAGAUCGUCAAGACAGGGAAGAAGAUCAACAUCACUCUAGGAAGAGCAGGAGGAUCGGCGGAAAUGAGAAACAUCACCGGCACGAGGAAGGGAAUAAAGAUCGGCAGAAAUUGGUGCCCGGGAUGACUAAAAAAAA
Molecule: long non-coding RNA, 6808 nt
Filed under: Pollicipes pollicipes
Lineage: Eukaryota; Metazoa; Arthropoda; Thecostraca; Pollicipedomorpha; Pollicipedidae
Description: uncharacterized LOC119096836, transcript variant X1
Source: RNAcentral